AGGGGUAUAGCUCAGUUGGUAGAGCGGCAGUCUCCAAAACCGCAGGUCGUAAGUUCGAGCCUUACUGCCCCUGCCA
RNAcentral lists this transfer RNA (76 nucleotides) under Rhizobium sp. RCAM05350. RNAcentral's name for it is "tRNA-Trp". It matches the Rfam family "tRNA". From Rfam's summary of the family: Transfer RNA (tRNA) molecules are approximately 80 nucleotides in length. Their secondary structure includes four short double-helical elements and three loops (D, anti-codon, and T loops). Lineage: Bacteria; Pseudomonadati; Pseudomonadota; Alphaproteobacteria; Hyphomicrobiales; Rhizobiaceae. The record is from RNAcentral.